Molecule: ribosomal RNA, 293 nt
Filed under: uncultured Peptoniphilus sp.
Lineage: Bacteria; Bacillati; Bacillota; Tissierellia; Tissierellales; Peptoniphilaceae
Description: partial 16S ribosomal RNA
Rfam family: Bacterial small subunit ribosomal RNA
Source: RNAcentral
AACCCUUCGGGGCGAAGAUAAGACGGAUUAGCGGCGGACGGGUGAGUAACACGUGAGUAACCUGCCUUUUACACGGGGAUAGCCUCGGGAAACCGGGAUUAAAACCUGAUGAAACUAUCAAAUCACAUGAUUAAGAAAGUUAAAACUCCGGUGGUAAAAGAUGGACUCGCGUCCCAUUAGCUAGUUGGUGAAGGUAACGGCCCACCAAGGCAACGAUGGGUAGCCGGCCUGAGAGGGUGAACGGCCACAUUGGAACUGAGAAACGGUCCAAACUCCUACGGGAGGCAGCAGGA